This 1220-nucleotide long non-coding RNA is filed under the name Prunus persica (peach). Its description in RNAcentral is "long non-coding RNA (PPER_LNC007230)". Lineage: Eukaryota; Viridiplantae; Streptophyta; Magnoliopsida; Rosales; Rosaceae. The record is from RNAcentral.
GGGACUUUCAACAAGGUUCUCCACCUUUCUGUUAUCCUCCAUUUUAUGAAAUAUUGCAAUAAACCCUAAGUAUCACAUGAUUUCGAGAACCCAUUACUACCAUACUAAUAUAUUAGCAUAUGCUUGCAAACCGUAUUCACUUAGAUGUGAAUAAAAAUAAUUAUACAUAAUGUAGCAAUUACUCAUUCAAUGACCCAAUGCCAAAAUCUAAUCAACAUAAAUUAGCUUUUUCAUAAUUAAUGAGAUACCCAACUUCAUGGUACCAUACUAAUAUAUUAGCACAUGCUUACCUAAUUGUUCUAGGUCUUCCUACCAACUUUUUGGUUGAAUUUUGAUGUUGAUGAGGUGGAUCUCCAUCAAAUCUCCGUAUUGAGUGAAACUUUUAAUUUUGUGGAUCUACUAUCAAUUGGUGUGUUGAGUUUAGGGGUGUUUGGGAGACGUUGUGACCAUGUGUCCUAGUGAAAGUUGAGCGGGAUUUGCUUUUCCACUUGUAGGUGUUUUCUGUCCCCAACUUCCAAAUCGGUAUCUCUCAUAUAGUCUUUUUACAGCACCGGAUGCAGUGACUUUAUGAAUCCUCUUAUAUUUUCAGUUCCUGAUGAGCUAGGUUUUCAAGAUGUAAAAUUGUUUGCUCAUUGUCUUGCAAUAGUGUGGUUAUUGUUUGCAAGAGCCUUUUACGGGGCUCUAUUCUUGUAAUGCCCGUUUAUUAAAGAAAUUGUUGCAGCCAUAGAAAAAAAGUGCUUGACGUAUUGGUGACUGAUGAGUUACAUGUUACGUUAUGUGACUUCCUCAAUGUGUUUUUAUGUCACCAAAGUUUUUGAUGUUUACAUGAAAAACACUUGUAAAAAAAUUAGAUUUCAAUGGAUUGGUAAUAAAAAAUUGGCUACAUUUUGUUUAGUUAGUUUGUUAGAGAUUUAAUUGGCAAACCAAUGUGUAAAAAUAAAAAAUUAAAAAAAUUAAAAAAAAGGGAAAAAAAAAAGAGCAACAAGCAUUCUAAAUUGACUAGACAUACAUUAUGUUGGAAUUUUAAAAGGUUUUAAAAAUUUAACUGUUUUAUUUAUGUAAUCAUUUUGACUGUUUUAUUUUAUUUAUUGUGGGGGUUAUAAAUAUUUAAUAUUCAAAUUUUAUUUCUGGUUGGUGAAUGCCUUAAUUUUUUAGUUGGUGAACUUUUAUGGUUGGUGAAGGUUAUAUGUUUUUGGAUGCCUAUAAAAUGUCACUCCUCC